RNAcentral lists this ribosomal RNA (482 nucleotides) under uncultured bacterium. RNAcentral's name for it is "partial 16S ribosomal RNA". It matches the Rfam family "Bacterial small subunit ribosomal RNA", at positions 28 to 523 of the family's 1533-position model. The record is from RNAcentral.
AGUGAACGUUGGCGGCGUGGAUUAGGCAUGCAAGUCGAGCGAGAACCGUAGCAAUACGGGGACAGCGGCGAAAGGGACAGUAAUGUGUGGGUACCUACCUCCGGGUUCGGGAUAGCUGCGGGAAACUGCAGGUAAUACCGAAUAACGUCUCCGGACCAAAGGUGUGAUUCCACCUGGAGAGGGGCCUGCAUCCUAUUAGCUUGUUGGCGGGGUAACGGCCCACCAAGGCGACGUUGGGUAGCGGGUGUGAGAGCACGACCCGCGUCAUUGGGACCGAGACACUGCCCAGACACCUACGGGUGGCUGCAGUCGUGAAUCUUCGGCAAUGGGCGCAAGCCUGACCGAGCGACGCCGCGUGCGGGAUGAAGGCCUUCGGGUUGUAAACCGCUGUCGUAGAGGAGGAAAUGCAGGGGGGUUCUCCCCUCUGUUUGACCUAUUCUAGGAGGAAGUACGGGCUAAGUUCGUGCCAGCAGCCGCCGCCG